RNAcentral lists this ribosomal RNA (253 nucleotides) under uncultured bacterium. RNAcentral's name for it is "partial 16S ribosomal RNA". It matches the Rfam family "Bacterial small subunit ribosomal RNA", at positions 524 to 776 of the family's 1533-position model. The record is from RNAcentral.
UACGGAGGGAGCUAGCGUUGUUCGGAAUUACUGGGCGUAAAGCGCGCGUAGGCGGCUUUGUAAGUUAGAGGUGAAAGCCCGGAGCUCAACUCCGGAACUGCCUCUAAGACUGCAUCGCUUGAAUCCGGGAGAGGUGAGUGGAAUUCCGAGUGUAGAGGUGAAAUUCGUAGAUAUUCGGAAGAACACCAGUGGCGAAGGCGGCUCACUGGACCGGUAUUGACGCUGAGGUGCGAAAGCGUGGGGAGCAAACAGG